This is a long non-coding RNA of Numida meleagris (helmeted guineafowl), 1421 nucleotides long. RefSeq lists it as uncharacterized. The transcript has 3 exons. Lineage: Eukaryota; Metazoa; Chordata; Aves; Galliformes; Numididae. The record is from RefSeq and is a predicted model, not a curated record.
AUUUUUCAGCAAGUGCAGCUGUUUCUUGGGUUUACCAGGCAAAGAAGCAAGAGGGGGAGGUGUGCUGGUGCUGGGAAGUACCUGGAUGAAAGACCCAUCGCCUGUCCUGGUGGCCGUGUGCCUCAGCUGAGAUGCUGCUCGGAGGACGCAGAGCGCUGGAGCAGAGCUGCCCUGCCCACCUGGAGCCUACACGUGGGAAUGCAAAUGAGCAUUUAGUCAUCUAAUGCUAUAACGAAAUCCCAUCAGCAUGUGCCAAGUGCUAUCCGAAACCAGUUUCUGUACUGCAACACUUCUGGCCACGUACUGCAGGAAAGACUGGAUGCUCUGUGAGCAAAGAAAGUGAAUGUAACCAUAGCACAGAAUUUAUUUGGGAGCCUGCACGAAGACACAAGGUGUACCAGCUAAACUGAGUGUUUAUAAAGAGGCUGGGAUUCCUCAUUUUAUAAGUGUUUGCGUGGCUUUAAUGGAGAAGGAUUCUAAUGGCUUUUGACACGUGUUAAUGGUGUAUGUCACGUUCUUUAUAUUUUCAUAAUGACAUCUCUAAUUUCUGAUGGCAUGUGUCACAUUGCAUAUAUUUGUUAAAUAUAGGUCACGGGCUAAAAAUAUGCACAAUAUUAACAAACUAUGGAUGAUAACAAUUACAUAUAUCUUCCUCACUGCAGCAAGCUCAAUUCAUCAUAAAUCUAAUUCUGGUGGGUCUUCUAGAAUUCGGUGGGAAAAUGUUUUUAAAGCUUUGUCUUCAAAGAUGGUGGAAAAAAAAAUUAGGCUUUAACAAAGUUGAUGCUGAUGAGAAAAAAGGAGUUCUUUCUCACUGGGGUUGUUCUUAGAAACGGCACCUGUUCCUAGUGUGAGAGUGCUGGAAAAUGCUGAUACAGUAUUGUGGUACUCAUCAAUUUAUAUGGUUUGGCAAAAAACUAGAAACAGCUCCUCUGGGGAGAAUGGGUAAUGGGAGACGCAUGUUUGAGGCUCUUGAAACACAGUGCUCAGCAUUAUGGCUGUGACCUUCAGCACAUGACACGUAGGGUUGGUAUUGCUCUUCUUCAGGAAGGUGUGCAGGGGAUAAGGAACCGUGUUUUACAUCUUACAGUCCAUAUAAAAGCUUGUGAUAUGAAAGUCAGAGGGCCUGAUGGCUUCCAGGUGUUUUACCAAUUCCUCCUGAUGAAUGUGAUUACUCUGUGUAUUUCCUGGGAUGACUGUGUGUAUGUGAGUGCAGGGACACGCUGUCCCAGGAGCACUUUUUUACUCAUCUGAUCGCCUUCUGGUUACUUUCUGGCCUCUGGAUAGAAAUCAUGUAGCCAGAAGUGCACAGAAAAUGCACAAUGUCGGGGCCAGAUGUGUGAAAUCUGAAUGUUGAAAACAUCAGCUCAACAGCUAAUCUCACAGGAGCCCUUCUUGAUGGUGAUGAGAUUUUUAUCUUUGAU